UACGAAGGGGGCUAGCGUUGCUCGGAAUCACUGGGCGUAAAGGGUGCGUAGGCGGGUCUUUAAGUCAGGGGUGAAAUCCUGGAGCUCAACUCCAGAACUGCCUUUGAUACUGAAGAUCUUGAGUUCGGGAGAGGUGAGUGGAACUGCGAGUGUAGAGGUGAAAUUCGUAGAUAUUCGCAAGAACACCAGUGGCGAAGGCGGGUUGCUGGGCUGACACUGACGCUGAUGCGCGAAAGCCAGGGGAGCGAACGGG
RNAcentral lists this ribosomal RNA (253 nucleotides) under uncultured bacterium. RNAcentral's name for it is "partial 16S ribosomal RNA". It matches the Rfam family "Bacterial small subunit ribosomal RNA", at positions 524 to 776 of the family's 1533-position model. The record is from RNAcentral.